Molecule: ribosomal RNA, 177 nt
Filed under: Amaurascopsis perforata
Lineage: Eukaryota; Fungi; Ascomycota; Eurotiomycetes; Onygenales; Onygenaceae
Description: 5.8S ribosomal RNA
Rfam family: 5.8S ribosomal RNA (bases 2-155)
About the family: 5.8S ribosomal RNA (5.8S rRNA) is a component of the large subunit of the eukaryotic ribosome. It is transcribed by RNA polymerase I as part of the 45S precursor that also contains 18S and 28S rRNA.
Source: RNAcentral
AAACUUUCAACAACGGAUCUCUUGGUUCCCACAUCGAUGAAGAACGCAGCGAAAUGCGAUAAGUAAUGUGAAUUGCAGAAUUCCGUGAAUCAUCGAAUCUUUGAACGCACAUUGCGCCCUCUGGUAUUCCGGGGGGCAUGCCUGUUCGAGCGUCAUUGCAACCCUCAAGCGCGGCUU